CUCCUUAGGCCAGCCAACACGACAAACUGUCCCUGGGGGCUCCAGAAGAUGGUAUUUGCCUGCUGCUUAUCAAACAUUUCUGAAAGCAAAGAGAGCGGCUGAACUCCACUCACGCC
This is a long non-coding RNA of Herpailurus yagouaroundi (jaguarundi), 116 nucleotides long. RefSeq lists it as uncharacterized. Lineage: Eukaryota; Metazoa; Chordata; Mammalia; Carnivora; Felidae. The record is from RefSeq and is a predicted model, not a curated record. The transcript has 3 exons.